GAUGAACGCUGGCGGCGUGCCUAAUACAUGCAAGUCGAGCGAACAGAUGAGAAGCUUGCUCCUCUGAUGUUAGCGGCGGACGGGUGAGUAACACGUGGGUAACCUACCUAUAAGACUGGGAUAACUCCGGGAAACCGGGGCUAAUACCGGAUAAUAUUUUGAACCGCAUGGUUCAAUAGUGAAAGACGGUUUCGGCUGUCACUUAUAGAUGGACCCGCGCCGUAUUAGCUAGUUGGUAAGGUAACGGCUUACCAAGGCGACGAUACGUAGCCGACCUGAGAGGGGGAUCGGCCACACUGGAACUGAGACACGGUCCAGACUCCUACGGGAGGCAGCAGUAGGGAAUCUUCCGCAAUGGGCGAAAGCCUGACGGAGCAACGCCGCGUGAGUGAUGAAGGUCUUCGGAUCGUAAAACUCUGUUGUUAGGGAAGAACAAAUUUGUUAGUAACUGAACAAGUCUUGACGGUACCUAACCAGAAAGCCACGGCUAACUACGUGCCAGCCGCCGCAGUAA
This 514-nucleotide ribosomal RNA is filed under the name uncultured bacterium. Its description in RNAcentral is "partial 16S ribosomal RNA". It matches the Rfam family "Bacterial small subunit ribosomal RNA", at positions 28 to 523 of the family's 1533-position model. The record is from RNAcentral.